AGCUUUGCACAGUGGCAGUAUCAUAGCCAAUGAGGUUUAUCUGAGGUGUGAUUAUUGCUAAUUGAAAACUAAAAAACAAUACUUCAAACUAAAAAUAGAAAGAAACUUCCCCUUAAUGCAAGAAG
RNAcentral lists this small nuclear RNA (125 nucleotides) under Cervus hanglu yarkandensis (Yarkand deer). Its description in RNAcentral is "U4 spliceosomal RNA (ENSCHYG00000025746.1)". It matches the Rfam family "U4 spliceosomal RNA". Rfam says of the family: U4 small nuclear RNA (U4 snRNA) is a component of the major U2-dependent spliceosome. The structure of U4 snRNA from yeast and human has been reported. Lineage: Eukaryota; Metazoa; Chordata; Mammalia; Artiodactyla; Cervidae. The record is from RNAcentral.